Molecule: long non-coding RNA, 713 nt
Organism: Globicephala melas (long-finned pilot whale)
Lineage: Eukaryota; Metazoa; Chordata; Mammalia; Artiodactyla; Delphinidae
Source: RefSeq, a predicted model, not a curated record
CUCUCGAUGUCAUCCUGUUACACAGGCAGGAAAUUCUGUUCACUUGGCUGUUGGGAAGACUUCUGCCCUGCGGUCACAAAACAACAAAUAAAACGAAUUGACCCAGAAGUUAGGCAAUCAAAGAAGAGCCGAAAUCGCUACUCGAUAAAGCCUGUCGAUUGAAGAAAGCGGACUAUCAUUCCUGCGUGGUGACCCGCAGGCUGGGAAGCUGGAUCUGUGUUUGUCUAAUUACUUUGGAAACACACACAGCCCUGGAUGAAUCAACCACACAAAUGAGUGUUGGAGGAAAGUUUAUAAACAUGAAGCAGGAUGGAGAGCUGAGGAAAGGUCAGCGGCCUGGGACACAGCAGGAAGCCUGGUCAAGGCUCAGCGCUUCGGGAACUAUGAUGAUGAUCAGUCUUCUGCACAGCUUAAUAUUUUCAUCAGUGACAUCGACCACAGCUGGAAAUAAAGAAAGAAGAUGCAGGACAUCUCAUGAUGAAAAGAGCCACAGACCAUGCACUACUCAGAACAAGGAUCUUAUCAUGUCUAACUUUGUAUCUCCAAACUCAGCUAAAGCUUCCCCUUCAGUAAUCUCACAAGCAGACUGUGUGCACAAGAUAGCAUCUAAAGAAAGAUCAUGAGGAGUCAACAAGCCUGCAAGCAGUGGGAGAUGGUGAAGAAUCUGACCCCCUUUCUCAGUGAUUAACUGAGAUUAUUUCCCCUUUUCCCUU